CACACCGCCCGUCACACCAUGGGAGUUUGUUGCACCAGAAGCAGGUAGCUUAACCGCAAGGGGGGCGCUUGCCACGGUGUGACCGAUGACUGGGGUG
Molecule: ribosomal RNA, 97 nt
Filed under: uncultured bacterium
Lineage: Bacteria
Description: partial 16S ribosomal RNA
Rfam family: Bacterial small subunit ribosomal RNA
Source: RNAcentral